CACAGGCUUCCCAAGAUGGGUGCUUACAGAUAUAUUCAAGAGUUGUAUCGUAAAAAGCUGAGCGAUGUUAUGCGCUUCCUUUUGCGUGUCAGAGUAUGGCAAUAUCGCCAGUUGACUCGAAUGCACCGAGCUCCUAGGCCUACCAGGCCUGACAAAGCUAGGAGACUAGGAUACCGUGCUAAACAGGGUUACGUUAUCUUCAGAAUCCGCGUGCGCCGUGGUGGUCGCAAACGCCCAGUUCCUAAGGGCGCUACAUAUGGCAAGCCAAAAAGCCAUGGAGUCAACCAGUUGAAACCUACACGCAACUUACAAUCUAUCGCUGAGGAACGUGUCGGCCGUCGUUGUGGGGGCCUCCGUGUGCUCAACUCAUACUGGGUUGCACAAGAUUCUUCAUACAAAUACUAUGAAGUCAUCCUAGUCGACCCCUCACACAAGGCAAUUCGUCGUGAUCCCAAGAUCAACUGGAUAGUGAAUGCUGUACACAAGCACCGUGAAAUGCGUGGUCUCACCUCGGCUGGAAAGAGCUCCCGUGGUCUCGGCAAGGGUCAUCGAUACUCACAGACUAAGGGUGGAUCCCGUCGUGCCGCCUGGAUUAGACGCAACACUCUACAGCUGCGUCGCAAGCGAUAAAUACACUAUUGCUGCUGAUUUUCUAUUUGUUUAUAUCCUUCUCAGAUGGAGAGACAGCAGUACUCAAUAAAAACAUAAAAAAACAAGUUUUUUUUUUAUUAAUAUUCUCUAGAUAUUCAUAUUUUAUACAGAUUAUUUGCUAUUAUAAUGUAAGUAUUAAACUGCACCUACAUAUUUUUAUAUUUUAUUUGUAUGUGAAUAUAAUAAUUAAUAAUAAUAUUUAAUUUUUUUUUUUUUUUUUUUUAUAGAAAUACCAAAGGAAUUGUUGCAAGAGAAAAUUUGGAAAAAUAACAGGUAAUGAUAGCUUGGAGCUGUGCAAAGAUCAACAUAGGUAAUUAUUAUUUAAGAAUUGUUAAAAUGUAGCUUAUUUGGUAAUUUAAAUGGUAUAAUAUCCAAACCAUUACAUAGUCACAGUCAUUGAUUAUUUGUUAAUGUACUAAAAAGUUUGGAAAUAUUAAAAUGUUGUCUAGGUGAGGUUAUUGUUAAAUAAAUUUUCGAUAAACCUCAAUCCGGCAAGAUACAUAA
RNA transcript from Melitaea cinxia (Glanville fritillary), 1155 nucleotides. It is a transcript of the gene named 60S ribosomal protein L15, with no coding region annotated. NCBI's taxonomy places the organism in Eukaryota, Metazoa, Arthropoda, Insecta, Lepidoptera, Nymphalidae. The transcript is spliced from 5 exons. The record is from RefSeq and is a predicted model, not a curated record.